GUACGGCCCUUGCACCAGGGUCGUUUGGAAAUUGACAGAAAUCUCAUCAACAGGAUCAAUUUCUUAGGCAGUAAAAAAAAUAAUAACAGCCUUAAACCCGAGAGCCCUGGUGAACAGUUCCAUCAGGCCGCAGUCACAGCACGCGGAGAGACUCCCGUCGGGCGCGGUCCGCGCUCCGCCUGGCGCUCUGUGUGCGCUAAGUGUCCGAGCAGCCCCGCUGCCCCACGCCGGACUUCGCGAGCGACCUUAACGGUGGCGCAACGCAGCCUUCGGCCACCAGAGGCAACCGGCGUCAGCGGCUAGUCAAAAACUGGCGCUUUUUUCCUGCUUUCCGUGUAGAGACUAUCAACUCCAUCUGUCACAAAAUCAAGGCUAAAUCUCCCCAGAGGCGGAGGGAGCCGGGCUCCCGCGCGCUCAGAGCUGGGCUGGUUGCUCUCCCCCAAGGCCGAGGGGGUCUGGGAGGGCGGGAGUCAGAGCCGCAGCCACGGGGGUGUGUUGCUGCAGAAAGUGCCCCGUGCGUACGGAGGUGCCCAGCCUCGGGGCGCCAGGGCAGCGGGAACCCGGGCUCUGCGAGCUGCAGCGCAAAGCCGAACCUCGCAGAGCCAGGCUGAGGUUGAUGGGCGUUUGAGCUGUUUCUAAGAUUUAGCUAUUACAAACUGUGCCAAUAUAGACACGGGAGUGCAUAUAUUGCUGAGAAAUGACAGAUGGAAAAGAUAAUGUAGUCCUUGGCCAGAGCCACCUUGAGAAUCGCUGUGCUAUAUAUACUUGCAAAAAGAAGUGUGAACACAGUUACUUCGUUUGGCUUUGGAGAGAGCUAAGUAAAGACAACAGUCAUAACAGUAACUAUCAACAACAGCGAAAAUACAUGAACAAGCUGGGAUGAAGUGUGUGUCUGGUUAAUACUUCUUAAACUGGGAGAACCAUUAGAAUAACAGAUCUUUAAUGCUGAAAAUUUAUGUCAUGAAAUGUUUUGGGAAAAGAAUUAUGAUCUUAUUGAUUGAAAAAGAUUACAAACCAUCUAAUUCUUUUUAAUGAAAUGUGUAUCCCAGGACUUUAUCAAACAUAUAAUUGGGGAGUUCACAUUCUUAUUUUUAAUCUGCUUUUGUAUUUACCUGCUCAUUUUUCACUGACUUUGGUUCAAUCUAAUCCAAGAAUUCCUUCUACAUGUGCCUGAAAAUGAGUUAUGAAUGAAACGAUUCCAUUUAACUAGGUUAAAACAGAAAACCAAAGAGUUAAUAUAAUGUAGAUUGUAGGCUUUAGUCUAUAAUAGUAUAUCAGUAGUGGUUAUCAGUUGUAACAAAUGCAGCUGGGCAUGGUGGAGCAUGCCUGUCAUCCCAGCCUUCAGGAGGCUGAGGCAGGAGAAUUGCUGACCUUGAACUCACAGCAAACCCUGUUUCAAGAAACAAAAAAUUGUUACAAAUGCAUCUCAUUAAUCAAAUACAAAAUAUACAUUAAGGAAACAGGGAGGACUAUGGGGUUAGGUUGGAAUACUCUGUACUUUCUAAUCUUUCAAUUUAGAGCUUUAUCAUUUAAAGUUUUCAGUUUUAAUAUUCCUUUUUUGCCCAUUAAAAAAUAAGGUAAAUCCAGGUGUGCUGUUUGAAACCAAAAGUUGGUCUCUCUGUGGUAUACAUCUCCCCAAGUGAUUAACUACAUAUAUUUACAUAGUCAUUUUUUGAAUUCACUUACCCACCCCAGAAAUAGUUGAGUGUCCACCUUGGGUCAAGCCUUCUGUCGCGCUUUGUUUUGAGCAGGAAAGUUUGCGAUAGGUAACUUUUUAUCAUAAGCUUUUACUUCAUGCGUAGACAUACAUUUAUUUACCAAAG
This 1823-nucleotide long non-coding RNA is filed under the name Heterocephalus glaber (naked mole-rat). RNAcentral's name for it is "lncRNA (ENSHGLG00100037791.1)". The record is from RNAcentral. Lineage: Eukaryota; Metazoa; Chordata; Mammalia; Rodentia; Bathyergidae.